GGCUGGUCCGAAGGCAGUGAGUUAUCUCCCGUGGUCGUUCACAGUCAGUUACAGAUCGAACUCAUCGUUCUCCUACUUUCCCCUCCUCACUACUGCACUUGACUAGUCUGAA
RNAcentral lists this Y RNA (112 nucleotides) under Propithecus coquereli (Coquerel's sifaka). RNAcentral describes it as "Y RNA (ENSPCOG00000005722.1)". It matches the Rfam family "Y RNA". From Rfam's summary of the family: Y RNAs are components of the Ro ribonucleoprotein particle (Ro RNP), in association with Ro60 and La proteins. The record is from Rfam by way of RNAcentral. Lineage: Eukaryota; Metazoa; Chordata; Mammalia; Primates; Indriidae.